This is a long non-coding RNA of Acanthopagrus latus (yellowfin seabream), 475 nucleotides long. RefSeq lists it as uncharacterized. Lineage: Eukaryota; Metazoa; Chordata; Actinopteri; Spariformes; Sparidae. The record is from RefSeq and is a predicted model, not a curated record. The transcript is spliced from 3 exons.
ACUGUAGCUGUUAGCUAGCUUGGCACAGACCACACAGUGUGUUGUUGUUGUUGUUGUUGUUGUUGUUGUUGUUGUUGUUGUAUAGCAAAGAAGCUGAGGCAUGUCAGUCAGACUUACACUCCUGUAUAACCUCACGGCCUCCGUCAUGUUUCCCAUUGAGUUUAUCUGCGCCGCGCAUCUUCAGCAACAUUGGCCUUUAUUCAGAAAAUACGUUGGCACCCUUCUAAAUACUGGAGGUCUGCGACCAGUUAGCAUGAGCGCCGAGGGAGUGUUGGUCCUGCGACCAGAAGCAGAACUCUCAAUUUUAAAGCCUGGGCAAAGAAAACCAAAGCUAAAGUUUCUGCGUGGCUGGAUUCCAUCGCAGAUAUUAAAGCUUAGAAGGACCGAUUGCUACAGCAGUGCAGCCAUGCUGUUGGAGGGAUGUCGCCUGACGAGAAAACAUCCAGUCCGACUGCUCUUCUCUACCUACCAAGUG